RNAcentral lists this ribosomal RNA (307 nucleotides) under uncultured Desulfobulbus sp. RNAcentral's name for it is "bacterial SSU rRNA". It matches the Rfam family "Bacterial small subunit ribosomal RNA", at positions 1075 to 1382 of the family's 1533-position model. The record is from RNAcentral. Lineage: Bacteria; Pseudomonadati; Thermodesulfobacteriota; Desulfobulbia; Desulfobulbales; Desulfobulbaceae.
UUGGGUUAAGUCCCGCAACGAGCGCAACCCUUGCCUUUAGUUGCCAGCAGUUCGGCUGGGCACUCUAAAGGGACUGCCGGUGUUAAACCGGAGGAAGGUGGGGAUGACGUCAAGUCCUCAUGGCCUUUAUGACCAGGGCUACACACGUACUACAAUGGCCGAUACAAAGGGCAGCGACACUGCGAGGUGAAGCCAAUCCCGUAAAAUCGGUCUCAGUCCGGAUUGGAGUCUGCAACUCGACUCCAUGAAGUUGGAAUCGCUAGUAAUCGUGGAUCAGCAUGCCACGGUGAAUACGUUCCCGGGCCUU